CAGUAGCCACGGUAAUACAGAGGGUGCGAGCGUUAAUCGGAUUUACUGGGCGUAAAGCGUGCGUAGGCGGCUUCUUAAGUCGGAUGUGAAAUCCCUGAGCUUAACUUAGGAAUUGCAUUCGAUACUGGGAAGCUAGAGUAUGGGAGAGGAUGGUAGAAUUCCAGGUGUAGCGGUGAAAUGCGUAGAGAUCUGGAGGAAUACCGAUGGCGAAGGCAGCCAUCUGGCCUAAUACUGACGCUGAGGUACGAAAGCAUGGGGAGCAAACAGGAUUAGAUACCCCCGAGUCCCUGUCUCUUAUACA
This 301-nucleotide ribosomal RNA is filed under the name uncultured bacterium. RNAcentral describes it as "partial 16S ribosomal RNA". It matches the Rfam family "Bacterial small subunit ribosomal RNA", at positions 509 to 808 of the family's 1533-position model. The record is from RNAcentral.